Molecule: ribosomal RNA, 572 nt
Filed under: Bacillus subtilis
Lineage: Bacteria; Bacillati; Bacillota; Bacilli; Caryophanales; Bacillaceae
Description: bacterial SSU rRNA
Rfam family: Bacterial small subunit ribosomal RNA
Source: RNAcentral
GCAAUGGACGAAAGUCUGACGGAGCAACGCCGCGUGAGUGAUGAAGGUUUUCGGAUCGUAAAGCUCUGUUGUUAGGGAAGAACAAGUACCGUUCGAAUAGGGCGGUACCUUGACGGUACCUAACCAGAAAGCCACGGCUAACUACGUGCCAGCAGCCGCGGUAAUACGUAGGUGGCAAGCGUUGUCCGGAAUUAUUGGGCGUAAAGGGCUCGCAGGCGGUUUCUUAAGUCUGAUGUGAAAGCCCCCGGCUCAACCGGGGAGGGUCAUUGGAAACUGGGGAACUUGAGUGCAGAAGAGGAGAGUGGAAUUCCACGUGUAGCGGUGAAAUGCGUAGAGAUGUGGAGGAACACCAGUGGCGAAGGCGACUCUCUGGUCUGUAACUGACGCUGAGGAGCGAAAGCGUGGGGAGCGAACAGGAUUAGAUACCCUGGUAGUCCACGCCGUAAACGAUGAGUGCUAAGUGUUAGGGGGUUUCCGCCCCUUAGUGCUGCAGCUAACGCAUUAAGCACUCCGCCUGGGGAGUACGGUCGCAAGACUGAAACUCAAAGGAAUUGACGGGGGCCCGCACAAGC